CCUUCUAUUUAUAAUAAUAUUAUUCUAGCUUUCAUUAUAUCUUUAUUAAAGAUACUAGUUUACCAAUUCCACCUAAUAUCUUCACUACUACGUCUAAAAGGCAUAAUAUUAUAAAUGUUUAUCAUGGGACUCUCAUCAUCUUAAAUUUACACUUCACCCGAGCCACCAAGAUAAUAAUCAUUCCUCCAGUCUUCACAGCCUGUGAAGCUGCUGCAGGCCUAGCACUACUAGUAAUGGUGUCUAAUACUUAUGGUCUAGAUUAGAUAUGGAAUUUAUUUAU
RNAcentral lists this long non-coding RNA (280 nucleotides) under Homo sapiens (human). Its description in RNAcentral is "non-protein coding lnc-ITGB1-2:1". The record is from RNAcentral. Lineage: Eukaryota; Metazoa; Chordata; Mammalia; Primates; Hominidae.